RNAcentral lists this ribosomal RNA (119 nucleotides) under Pteropus alecto (black flying fox). The record is from RNAcentral. Lineage: Eukaryota; Metazoa; Chordata; Mammalia; Chiroptera; Pteropodidae.
GUCUGCAGCCAUGUCACCCUGAACAAGCCCAAUCCCGUCUGAUCUCGGAAGCUAAGCAGGGUUGGGCCUGGUUAGUACUCGGAUGGGAGACCACAUAGGAAGACCAGGUGCUGUAGGCA